RNAcentral lists this long non-coding RNA (401 nucleotides) under Nicotiana benthamiana. Its description in RNAcentral is "long non-coding RNA (NBEN_LNC030841)". Lineage: Eukaryota; Viridiplantae; Streptophyta; Magnoliopsida; Solanales; Solanaceae. The record is from RNAcentral.
AGGAGGAUAAGAGACAAUAAGGUCAGAGUGUUAGUCAAAACGGUCGGAGAUUUGUUGGGGAUCCUUAGAGGCAUGCGCGCGGCGUCAUCCCAUCAGCUGUAGCAUACGAAUGCCCCGGCCCCUAUUAAGACUGUACCCCUUCUAUGUUUGACUGUUGCACUCCUUUCAUCUCUAGUCGUUUUCCGCGGCAGAGAUUAGUACACACGCGAUCUGUGUGUUUGCUGUUUGUCUCUGGACGAGACGACUGGGCUUUCGUGAUUGGGGUUUUGCCAAUUAUAGGUAGACAAUCUCGACAUCACGUAGAUUUUCCCUCUUAGCUUCUGUUUUUGCCAUCCCCUUCUUUUUGGCAUUUUCUUCUCGGAAUAUGAUUCCUUCUCCUUAGCUCCCUUUUUCUUAUAUCC